Molecule: non-coding RNA, 351 nt
Organism: Camellia sinensis
Lineage: Eukaryota; Viridiplantae; Streptophyta; Magnoliopsida; Ericales; Theaceae
Source: RefSeq, a predicted model, not a curated record
AAUAUAAUUCUUAUAACAUUGGGGAUCUUGAGAUUCAAGACAACUUAGCACGCAUAUGGGUGGAUAUUGGUACCGGUGAGCCAUUACUCUUGGAUAUUUUGAUAAAUGCUUUAACACAGAUAAGCUCUGACUACAUUGGAAGUAAGCAAGUGGUGUUUGGUGGAUCUGAAUUCGAGAACUGGAGGGAGGACUUGAAGGCGGAGGAUGCAGGUUAUAGCGUCCACAAGAUUUAAGGCAACUUGUGUGAAUAUCAUGAGACUGUCAGCAUCGUGCUUGUUUUUUCCGAAUCAUUCCAGACCUUCUCAUCAAUGAUUACCGUUGCCUUAUGAGUUAUAACAUCUUACAAUCUUA